This 469-nucleotide ribosomal RNA is filed under the name uncultured bacterium. Its description in RNAcentral is "partial 16S ribosomal RNA". It matches the Rfam family "Bacterial small subunit ribosomal RNA", at positions 28 to 507 of the family's 1533-position model. The record is from RNAcentral.
GACGAACGCUGGCGGCGUGCUUAACACAUGCAAGUCGAACGAGGUCCAUGCAGUCGCCCGACUGCGGAAGAUCUAGUGGCGAACGGGUGCGUAACACGUGAGAAACCUGUCCCGGUCUCUGGAAUAACAAGUGGAAACACUUGCUAAUACCGGAUGCCGUCGGACCAUCGCAUGAUGGACUGACGAAAGGGCUACCGGAUCGGGAGGGUCUCGCGGCCUAUCAGCUUGUUGGUGAGGUAACGGCUCACCAAGGCAUCGACGGGUAGCUGGUCUGAGAGGAUGAUCAGCCACACUGGGACUGAGACACGGCCCAGACUCCUACGGGAGGCAGCAGUGGGGAAUCUUGCACAAUGGGCGAAAGCCUGAUGCAGCAACGCCGCGUGCGGGAAGAAGGCCCUAGGGUUGUAAACCGCUUUCAGCAGGGAAGAAACUGACGGUACCUGUAGAAGAAGGUGCGGCCAACUACGUG